CCCUCUUCUAGGAGGCCAGCCUCAUCCGACUCUUUGCUUUCCGAACAGGGUGUUAUUUUGAGUUCAAUUCUUCUGCGUACAGUCGAAAGCGAUAGGGUGUAGUUGAUGACACUUCAGCUUUAAAAAAAAAAAAAAAAAACCCCACAAAUACGAAAGAAAGAAAAAUUACCAAAAAGAUAUUGAAACUCCAUUUUCGUCUUCCCGCUCGUCUGGAUUUUCGGUUGCGUGUUCGUGUUAGUCUUCGUCUUCUUGCUCAUCUGAUCUGGGGAAUUGCUACCCACAUUGCCUCUGAGUCGUCUUGUUCAUCUGGGACUUUGGAGACUCUGAGUCGUCCUGUUCAUCUGGGACUUUGGGUCUCCAUUUUCGUAGGUAUUAAUAAUACAGAUCAACUUAAAAGCUAUCGAAGACGUUCUCUGAGUUUCAUAGCUGAAAUUGCUCUUAAAUAUUAGAUUUUUGAGUUUACUUUUGUGUUUGUUUCUGUGUGAAUUUUGGGCUGUUUCGAAAUGGCGGGUGUUGAUCAUCUGGCGACCGAGAGGAGCAAGGCUCGUUUCGAUUUGGAGGAGAUGAAGGUCGUCUGGGCCAGUUCUCGGACACCUUGGAGCUCUCCGAUCGUAUUUCUCGCCUCGUCGCCAGCAAUCCGGUCAUUUUUUCUACUUCUAGUGUUUUUUUCUUUUUUCGCCCAAUUUGAUUCUAUACCUCUAGAUGUUUUCGAGAUGUUCUUUUAGAGCUACAAAGUUUAUUCCAGUAGAUGACUCUUCUUCACAGCGAGAAACCAUUGAGCAGGGACCACAAUCAGAUAGAAUGGUAAAACCAUUAAUGGGUUUUACAGACUCGGCAGUUGUUAAGCAUCCAACUUGUUCAUUUGGGCAGGGCACUACUUUCUCUUGCAUCAUUUGCUGCUGCUCAUUCUCUGAAGGUUCGACAGUAGCAAACCUCAUGAACUCAUGAGCAUCCUCCUGACUGCCAUAGCCAAGAUUACCACCGAUAUUAGAGAAACACAUAGAUGAAACACACAGAGGAAGAGAAACAUAGAGAGGAAGGAGGGAGAGUCGAAGAUUUGGAGAAAUGGGGUUGCAAAGAUGAAACAGUGCGUUUUUUUUUUUACAUCAGACGGCGUUUGUUCCGCGCUUGCACCAGGCGACUUCAUACAACUUUUUUCUUUUGCGAUUGAUCGCAUGAUCUAUCCAUCUCUACAAAAAUCAGCCCAAUGGAAUCUCCUCUGCACAUUGCCAAAACAUUUUGCUUGUGCAUGCAUCUUUAGUUAUCUUCACAUGCAUGACAUGACACUAGCAUGAAUCUUGGAGAUGUCUUCGCGUGCUUUAUUUCUUUCCAUCUGUUUUGGCCUCUUAUCUUCUAAACAUAAGCCCGUGCGUGACUUACACUUGAGUGUGAGAUCGAAAAUGUUGGUAUGCAGAUAAUAUUAGUCUAGUUGUUCCACACGUGUUAUAAACCCAGCUUGUACCAACAGUACUACUUGACAUAUGAACCUCGAAGUUCUAUACAUGUACUGAUCUAUAUACGUGAUAAAACGUACGGCGCAAUAAAAAUAUUGUAGUAUCUAGCUACUGUUUAAGUUCAA
Long non-coding RNA from Carya illinoinensis, 1579 nucleotides. RefSeq lists it as uncharacterized. The record is from RefSeq and is a predicted model, not a curated record. The transcript has 2 exons. NCBI's taxonomy places the organism in Eukaryota, Viridiplantae, Streptophyta, Magnoliopsida, Fagales, Juglandaceae.